UUUGAGAGGAGUUGCUCCUAGUACGAGAGGACCGGAGUGAACGAACCUCUGGUGUUCGGGUUGUCACGCCAGUGGCAUUGCCCGGUAGCUAUGUUCGGAAAGGAUAACCGCUGAAAGCAACUAAGUGGGAAGCCUACCUCAAGAUNAGAUAUCCCUGAACCUUCGGGUUCCUGAAGAGCCGUUCAAGACUAGGACGUUGAUAGGCAGGGUGUGUAAGUGCUGUNAGGCAUUGAGCUAACCUGUACUAAUUGCUCGUGAGGCUUAACUU
Molecule: ribosomal RNA, 268 nt
Filed under: Gammaproteobacteria bacterium
Lineage: Bacteria; Pseudomonadati; Pseudomonadota; Gammaproteobacteria
Description: partial 23S ribosomal RNA
Rfam family: Bacterial large subunit ribosomal RNA
Source: RNAcentral